UCGACCACGACUCGAGCACGGACCGCA
This 27-nucleotide small RNA is filed under the name Bombyx mori (domestic silkworm). RNAcentral describes it as "ovarian small RNA-28292". The record is from RNAcentral. Lineage: Eukaryota; Metazoa; Arthropoda; Insecta; Lepidoptera; Bombycidae.